This 250-nucleotide ribosomal RNA is filed under the name uncultured bacterium. RNAcentral's name for it is "partial 16S ribosomal RNA". It matches the Rfam family "Bacterial small subunit ribosomal RNA", at positions 524 to 773 of the family's 1533-position model. The record is from RNAcentral.
UACGGAGGGGGCCAGCGUUGUUCGGAAUCAUUGGGCGUAAAGGGCGCGUAGGCGGCCAAGCAAGUCGGAGGUGAAAUCCCUCGGCUCAACCGGGGAACUGCCCCCGAUACUGCUUGGCUCGAGUCCCGGAGAGGGUAGUGGAAUUCCCAGUGUAGCGGUGAAAUGCGUAGAUAUUGGGAGGAACACCGGUGGCGAAGGCGGCUACCUGGACGGGUACUGACGCUGAGGCGCGAAAGCGUGGGGAGCAAAC